Molecule: ribosomal RNA, 433 nt
Filed under: uncultured bacterium
Lineage: Bacteria
Description: bacterial SSU rRNA
Rfam family: Bacterial small subunit ribosomal RNA
Source: RNAcentral
ACGAACGCUGGCGGCAUGCCUAACACAUGCAAGUCGAGCGCCUGUAGCAAUACAGGAGCGGCGCACGGGUGAGUAACGCGUGGGAACCUGCCCUUAGGUUCGGAACAACCGCGGGAAACUGCGGCUGAUACCGGAUGAUGUCUUCGGACCAAAGAUUUAUCGCCUUUGGAGGGGCCCGCGUCGGAUUAGGUAGUUGGUGAGGUAACGGCUCACCAAGCCUGCGAUCCGUAGCUGGUCUGAGAGGAUGACCAGCCACACUGGGACUGAGACACGGCCCAGACUCCUACGGGAGGCAGCAGUGGGGAAUCUUGCGCAAUGGGCGAAAGCCUGACGCAGCCAUGCCGCGUGAGUGAUGAAGGUCUUAGGAUUGUAAAGCUCUUUCGCUCGCGACGAUGAUGACGGUAGCGAGAGAAGAAGCCCCGGCUAACUUCGU